GAUGAACGCUGGCGGCGUGCCUAAUACAUGCAAGUCGAGCGAACAGACGAGGAGCUUACUCCUCUGACGUUAGCGGCGGACGGGUGAGUAACACGUGGAUAACCUACCUAUAAGACUGGGAUAACUUCGGGAAACCGGAGCUAAUACCGGAUAACAUGUUGAACCGCAUGGUUCAACAGUGAAAGACGGUCUUGCUGUCACUUAUAGAUGGAUCCGCGUCGCAUUAGCUAGUUGGUAAGGUAACGGCUUACCAAGGCAACGAUGCGUAGCCGACCUGGGAGGGUGAUCGGCCACACUGGAACUGAGACACGGUCCAGACUCCUACGGGAGGCAGCAGUAGGGAAUCUUCCGCAAUGGGCGAAAGCCUGACGGAGCAACGCCGCGUGAGUGAAGAAGGUCUUCGGAUCGUAAAACUCUGUUAUUAGGGAAGAACAAAUGUGUAAGUAACUAUGCACGUCUUGACGGUACCUAAUCAGAAAGCCACGGCUAACUACGUG
RNAcentral lists this ribosomal RNA (497 nucleotides) under uncultured bacterium. Its description in RNAcentral is "partial 16S ribosomal RNA". It matches the Rfam family "Bacterial small subunit ribosomal RNA", at positions 28 to 507 of the family's 1533-position model. The record is from RNAcentral.